AUUUCUUCGGAUUGAAAUUUUAGUGACUGAGUGGCGGACGGGUGAGUAACGCGUGGGUAACCUGCCUCACACAGGGGGAUAACAGCUGGAAACGGCUGCUAAUACCGCAUAAGCGCACAGAGCUGCAUGGCUCGGUGUGAAAAACUCCGGUGGUGUGAGAUGGACCCGCGUCUGAUUAGCCAGUUGGCGGGGUAACGGCCUACCAAGGCGACGAUCAAUAGCCGGCCUGAGAGGGUGAACGGCCACAUUGGGACUGAGACACGGUCCAAACUCC
Molecule: ribosomal RNA, 274 nt
Filed under: uncultured Eubacteriales bacterium
Lineage: Bacteria; Bacillati; Bacillota; Clostridia; Eubacteriales
Description: uncultured Clostridiales bacterium partial 16S ribosomal RNA
Rfam family: Bacterial small subunit ribosomal RNA
Source: RNAcentral